Molecule: transfer RNA, 98 nt
Filed under: Streptomyces nojiriensis
Lineage: Bacteria; Bacillati; Actinomycetota; Actinomycetes; Kitasatosporales; Streptomycetaceae
Description: tRNA-Arg
Source: RNAcentral
CGCCGGCGCGGGCGCCCGUCGGCAGUGCGGCCGGCGGCGGACCGGCCGCGGCCCCGGAGGCACCGACGGCCGGGCGGUUCAGCGCCGUCCGCUGUCGG